GAUGAACGCUGACAGAAUGCUUAACACAUGCAAGUCAACUUGAACUUCGGUUUGGGUGGCGGACGGGUGAGUAACGCGUAAAGAACUUGCCUCACAGAUAGGGACAACAUUUGGAAACGAAUGCUAAUACCUGAUAUUAUGAUUAUAUGGCAUCGUAUAAUUAUGGAAGCUAUAUGCGCUGUGAGAGAGCUUUGCGUCCCAUUAGCUAGUUGGAGAGGUAACGGCUCACCAAGGCGAUGAUGGGUAGCCGGCCUGAGAGGGUGAUCGGCCACAAGGGGACUGAGACACGGCCCUUACUCCUACGGGAGGCAGCAGUGGGGAAUAUUGGACAAUGGACCGAGAGUCUGAUCCAGCAAUUCUGUGUGCACGAUGAAGUUUUUCGGAAUGUAAAGUGCUUUCAGUUGGGAAGAAAAAAAUGACGGUACCAACAGAAGAAGUGACGGCUAAAUACGUG
This 454-nucleotide ribosomal RNA is filed under the name uncultured bacterium. RNAcentral's name for it is "partial 16S ribosomal RNA". It matches the Rfam family "Bacterial small subunit ribosomal RNA", at positions 28 to 507 of the family's 1533-position model. The record is from RNAcentral.